RNAcentral lists this long non-coding RNA (939 nucleotides) under Rattus norvegicus (Norway rat). RNAcentral describes it as "partial HAfT19 cufflinks 00026127". Lineage: Eukaryota; Metazoa; Chordata; Mammalia; Rodentia; Muridae. The record is from RNAcentral.
CAAGCAAGCGCUGUAACUGAAGCCCGAGCCCAGCCCUCCGUACCACCACAGACUUCUGAAGCUGGGAAAGCUUUAGAAGCUGGGAGUUUUCUGAUUCUCUCAUCAUUAUGUUUCUCCUCAGUCUUUAGAUAGAGUGUUUUCCCUUGAAAGGAAGCAAAAUAAAAGGAUCCAGUGGCCAUUGUUUGAAGCUGUGAAAGUGAAGCUUGUAUUGUGUUGGAGACAUCAAGACGUUGGAGAUAACAGAGCAAUGACAGGAUAUCUGUCAAUACUAGCUGCAAACAGGAAGCAGCUCAAGAAAGAGAAAGUUUGGAGUGUUUAAUGUGACCACAUGGCUGAAAUUCAAGCUCAUUGUUUGAUGCUUAGAAAUACUCCAGGAAUCCACUCCAUCUCCACCCUCCCAUCUGCUCCAAAGAACAGAACAUUCUUCAGUCCUGAGGACCUGAGGAUUCUGACUCCUGACUCCAUCAAAACAAAAAGAUGAUACCGACAAAAGUUCUCUGACAUGUGGGAUUUGGGUUUGAAAGGUAGAAGAGGAGGUAUACUUUUAGGAUUGCAAGUGGAAAAACUGCAAGAGAAAUCUCUCAGAGAAAUACAGAACCAUUGUUCAGCUAACGAUGCCAAGGAGUACAGAAGACAACUUCAUGAAUAUUUCCCAGAAAUGCCCAAGUUAAUAUGUUCUUGUGUGCUGGAGGCUCUAACCACUAGUGAGUCAUCAUAGGAAGAGUGGCCACACAAAUUCAGACCACACAAGACUUCAACCUGGGCCCUGAGUAGGUCAAAGACUCACCACACAUUUAAAUUUCCUCAAGAAUAAAUUGAUUGUUGAACUGUACUUUAGAAUUGUAAUUGGAAAAUUGAUAAAGCUCACUUCAUAGUAUUUUCCAUCAUGUGCUUCAGCUAGUAGAAAUGUAGAAAUGCACAAUUAAAUGAUGGCUAGCA